This 492-nucleotide ribosomal RNA is filed under the name uncultured bacterium. RNAcentral describes it as "partial 16S ribosomal RNA". It matches the Rfam family "Bacterial small subunit ribosomal RNA", at positions 29 to 507 of the family's 1533-position model. The record is from RNAcentral.
AGUGAACGCUGGCGGUAGGCCUAACACAUGCAAGUCGAACGGCAGCACAGUAAGAGCUUGCUCUUACGGGUGGCGAGUGGCGGACGGGUGAGGAAUACAUCGGAAUCUACUUUUUCGUGGGGGAUAACGUAGGGAAACUUACGCUAAUACCGCAUACGACCUACGGGUGAAAGCAGGGGAUCUUCGGACCUUGCGCGAUUGAAUGAGCCGAUGUCGGAUUAGCUAGUUGGCGGGGUAAAGGCCCACCAAGGCGACGAUCCGUAGCUGGUCUGAGAGGAUGAUCAGCCACACUGGAACUGAGACACGGUCCAGACUCCUACGGGAGGCAGCAGUGGGGAAUAUUGGACAAUGGGCGAAAGCCUGAUCCAGCCAUACCGCGUGGGUGAAGAAGGCCUUCGGGUUGUAAAGCCCUUUUGUUGGGAAAGAAAAGCAGCAGGUUAAUACCACGCUGUUCUGACGAUACCCAAAGAAUAAGCACCGGCUAACUUCGUG